AAACUUUUAACAACGGAUCUCUUGGUUCUGGCAUCGAUGAAGAACGCAGCGAAAUGCGAUAAGUAAUGUGAAUUGCAGAAUUCAGUGAAUCAUCGAAUCUUUGAACGCACAUUGCGCCCUCUGGUAUUCCGGGGGGCAUGCCUGUUCGAGCGUCAUUA
This 158-nucleotide ribosomal RNA is filed under the name Phaeococcomyces nigricans. RNAcentral describes it as "5.8S ribosomal RNA". It matches the Rfam family "5.8S ribosomal RNA". Rfam says of the family: 5.8S ribosomal RNA (5.8S rRNA) is a component of the large subunit of the eukaryotic ribosome. The record is from RNAcentral. Lineage: Eukaryota; Fungi; Ascomycota; Arthoniomycetes; Lichenostigmatales; Phaeococcomycetaceae.